CCCCUUAAAAUGGGUUCUAGAGCAGGUCUUCUGUUCCAGAAGGGGAGAAGCAUAGAGGGCCUGUGAGCUCACAUGUGUUCUUUGUCAUAGGGGUGAAAAACUAACUUCAAGUGUCCCUUGUUUGAAAUAAACUUAGCAGAGUCACUUUCUAUCAUCUUAUUUGUUUGUUCACUGUGUGUUUGACUGUAUUUCAAAGCACAUUAUUUCAUAGAAGACCCUAGGCAGUUGAACUCCAAAGUCAGCCCCUAUAAACCUCAAGUUCAUAAUGUAGCAGAACAGUAAUAGGAAAGUCCUAGGCUAAUGUUCAGACGAUCAGAGCUUGGCCAGUGCUGGCAACACCUUUAUCUCAGUGCCUACUCAGCUGUGAAUCCUCUGAAGUUCAUUUUUUCAUAUCAAUAUUGUAUUUUUCAUCUCUAUAAAUUCCAUUUGGGUCUUUUAAUAAAUAUCUUACAUGUUUUACAUUAUA
RNAcentral lists this non-coding RNA (466 nucleotides) under Pan troglodytes (chimpanzee). Lineage: Eukaryota; Metazoa; Chordata; Mammalia; Primates; Hominidae. The record is from RNAcentral.